CUUAGUGCGGUCAAAUAACCCAUCCACCUGUUACCAUGUCAACAUCAGGCCUGAAACAGUAUCUCUAAAUGAGAACACGUUGUCUCUAGCAACUAGGAUGUGCCUGUCAUCUGCCUCGUAAGUUGGAGAGAAAACAUGUUUGAUUUUUACUGUGGCAAAAGAACAUUGAAGGAAAAACCCUCAUGAUUUUUCUUUAUAGUUGUUCAUUAUGUCAUGUAGAAAUUAUAUGUUUGGCUCGAUGGAAGAAGACAAAUCUUUCAUCAUUUUUAUUUUAGUAGAUUUUUUAGGAAUGUGUUUCUUUAAAGCAAGCACUCUUAGUUAAUAUUACACAGGUAGUGCAAAGAUAUUAUAAUAUUCUCUUUUGGUAUGUGUGAUCUUGGUGACUAUGGUAAACAGAAUAAUGCCCCCUGCCCCAAGUUGUCCACAUCCUAAUUCCUGGAACCUGUGAAUAUGUUACCUUAUAUGGCAAAAGGGACUUUGCAAAUGGGAUUAAAUUAAAGAUCCUGAAAUGGGAUGAGUAUCCUGAAUUAUCCAGAUAGACCCAAUAUAAUCACAGAGUUCUUAUAAGGGGAAGACAGAAGAAGAAGGGUCAGAGUCAGAAGUGGAGAUGCAGCAUCAGAAGCAGAGGUCAGGAUACCCCAUUUGCCCUGAUGUGAUUAUUAUUCAUUGCAUGCCUGUAUCAAAAUAUCUUGUGUAACCUAUAAAUAUAUACAUCUACUGUUUACCCACAACAAUUUAAAAAUAAAUAAAUCACAUUAAAAAUUUUUUUAAAAGAAGCAGAAGUCAGAGAGAGAAGGAGUUGAGGAUGCUGUGUUGUUGACUUUGAAGAUGGAGGAGGGGGCCAUGAGCAAAGGAAUGCAGGCAGCCUCCAAAGCUGAAAGGGCAAGAAAGCAGAUUCUCCCCUAAAGCCCCCACAAAGAAACACAGCCUACCCACAGCUUGAAUUUUAGGACUUCUCCCCUCCAGAGGUGUAAGAUAAUACAUUUGUAUUGUUUUAAGCCACUGUGCUUAUAACUGGUUACAGCAGCCAUAGGCAACAAAUACAGUGACUCUAAAACAUUUAAUGUGACUUUACGUAUUAGGGUGGAUUAUUGACAUUUCUUAAGUGAAAAGGUAAUUUUUUUAUUUGGUAUUUUUCCUUUUAUAAACAUAUUCUUGCACAUUGGUUCUAGUGUUAGAAAAUGACAUCUUUACAAACAGAUCACGUUGUCUAUGGGAUACACUAUUUUAUUGUCUAUUGUUAUAUAUGUAGUUUAUAACUAACUUUAAUUCCAAGAGAGGGACUAAUAGAUAUGGGCUCAAUAAUUGUCUAUUAGAUCCUGCACAAAGUGGAUAUCACAGUUCAUAUUGUGAGAAGACACAAUAGUGAGAAUAGUUUUACCAAAAAUAAUGAAAUAUCAUAUAAUUGUCUGCCUUUUACCAUUGAUUUGAGUGCAUCUUUAGAAAACUGAAUGUAACAGAAACCCAGGACAUUUUUGGAAACUGUAUACUCUCUAGCAACUUUGUGUGCACUGUUUUAUGCAUUCUAUAAAAUGUUAUAAAAGUAGAAACAAAUUUUAAAAACAUAAGUAAAAUGAUAAUUAUCUGUUAAAUGUUAGACUAGUUCUUACUGAAACCUAGCUCUCAAGAAUCAAAAUCAGAUUUAUGCAAGUGAAUAAUUUCUUAGUAUUUAUUUGGUAUUUUUCCAUCUCCAGGCUAGCAGCUGAGUUGCUUUCCAGGAAGAAGAGUAAAUAUGGUAGAUUUAUUUUUAAUAUAUGUGUAUCCAUAACGUCUAGCUUAGUGUUUUGGCAAGUUAAAGUUUGCUAGCUGGACCUGUUAUAGUAAUUCUUUUUUGUUGCUAUUUCUUCCUCUCUCAGCUAAUACAAGAUUACAUAGGCAGAGGUUAGGCGGCUAGUCUAGGUACAGAAAAGUAGAACAAGUGGGUAGCAAGGCAAGCCACAAAUCUUAGCUGGGCCUAAGUUUGCAUUGUUCUACUCUAAGAGCCAACAAAUAAGGCUCUAUUAAAAAUUAUUUAACUCAUCUAAACUAUACAGAGUUAUUUGAUUUGGUCAGUUUCCUUGGGUUGGAGAAAUUAAAAAUGACUUAAAUUAAUGUGUAAUACUUACUGUUGAAUGUUUAAAUUCGGUGUGGAAAUUAGUCAAGCAACAGUCUUUCCCGUCUGUUUGGUGCAGCUGAACACAUGGGUCUAUAUAAAGUUCUUUUGCUCUCAAAUAUAAAUAGCAGCUCAAAAGAUAGCUGGAAAGUUGCAGGAAGUUCAACUGUUUUGCAAGGUCAAAAACAAUUCUCAUAUGAGGCCAUGAUGAUUUCCUACAGUUUGCUGUUGUGGUAAUUAAUGGGGCAUAUAAUCGGAUGUGCUCUUAAAUCAUUUACUGAAAUUUUCAGCCAAAAAUAAAAGGGUUUUAUUUUGUGUUUUGUUUUGGUAGCAGUAGUGGUGGUGAUUGUAGUUAAGGAUCGAGCCUCUUCACCAGAGAUAUUCGACUCUUGGGUAUUCAUAAGGUUUUCUCAGGAUCUGGCACAGCCUCGUCCUGACUCUCAAUCAUCCCUGGCCAUCCUGGAAGCUACCUCUGCAUGCUCCACCUCUGCGUGCUCCCAGAGCUGUGUUAUCAUUCUCAGUACUUUUAUUUAUGCUGAUACUGGCUAGCAAACAGAUUUGGAGGGGAGAAAUAAAAAACAGUUAUCUAUGAUAUUUUUUCCUUUCUUUGAAAUAUGUAUUGAAAACAAGUGCAUUGUUUUAGUCUUCUUUGGCACUGUAUCUCCAAAUUGCAAUUUAGUAUCUUAUAUUUCACUAUCAAUCAAAGUUCAGUUGCAAGAACAAGAAACCACUUUACCUUAACCAGAAAGGGAUUUAAUCUAAGGAAUUGGGUGCCUACGAAGUCUGUGGAAAGGCAGGGAGCAUGGGCUCCAGGCUGGCACCAGGAACUCCAUCCUGGAACAUGACACAGAACUGGGCCAUCAGCAGCACUACAGCAGGAACCACAGUCAGGUUGGUGCCUGCCAAUGAGAUGCAACCCAGACAAAAGCAUUUCAGUGAGCCCAGAAUGUUUUUUCAAUAAGGCAGCCUUUAAAAACCAAGCAACUUCACUAAAAUACCCAGAUUCUUAUGCAAAAUCAAUAUCUUUGACACCUUAUAAUUUUGGCUCUGUUUCCUCCUGGCUUUUAUCAGCUGGAGGGAAAAACCCUGGACCCCCUAGGUCACCACCCUCUGCAUCAUUCAUCUGUACUGUAACCCUGCCUGCUCCCAUAGGUAUGUCUGCUUUUAGACUUGAUGUGCACAAGAAGCUGAUAGAAAGGCCUAGGGUCUUAAUUAUGGACUUAGGGAAAUCGUAAGGAAAAAAGACAUAACAGUACUAAAGAAUCCUGAAGACAACAGCCUGAGAACUCCCAGAAGCAAUAUCCCUAUUUCCCUGACCCACCAUGCCCAACUCACAUUAUUUAAUUGGCACACUUCACCAGCAAACAAAAAAAAUUGCCAUAUUUUGUUCUAUCGUUUUUUUCCUUGAGUGUCCACCUAGUCCUACUUGGUGUUUCUUUAGGCAAUGAAUAAACACUAUUCUAAAUCUCAUCUGGCCAACUGAGUUUCAAAACCUAAUCCAGAUACCCUGGAAAAAAAAUUCAUUGAAAAGAAAAUAUGUUGAAUAUUGAUGUUUUAAAUUACAUGUGAGAUUUUUCUCUUUAUGAAUCAUUUUUCUGUUCAGGCAAAGUGGUCUUUUUUCUGAUUUUGACAUUAUGUUAUACAUAUCUGUGCUAAAAUAAGCUGUAAAUACUUCAACUAGCAGUUGUCAUUCUUUCAGUCUUUUUAGAAUCCUUAGGUUGGCAAGGUAUUGAUUAGUACCUGGAUGCCUCCACACCUUAAUUAUAUACUACAGUGGGACAUUGUUUUCUCUUAGAAUUACUCCUUUUUUUUAAGGAUUAUUUUUUGUAACUUCAAAAACUAAUAGCAACUCAUUCUUUUUUUAAUGUACUCCAAGAAAAAAAGAAUGGAAGGAAAGAAAGAGGAAGGAAAGAAAAAAAAAGUAUUAUCUUGAAAAUAUGUAUCUAACCUACUGAUUGGGAGUACGUAUUUUCAAGUUGUACUGUGCAGUCUUGUGUUAGAGCAUGCAGAUCGUAGGAAUAAAGAGAAACCAUUGUGGGCACUUGCUUCCCAGUCAACUAGUGAGAUCCAAGUUCUGAAUUUUUGAUACUUGCAUUUUUCUUUACUGGUAAGAAGGCUGUUCUUUUAAAAGAGUAUAAAUUAAGCACUAAGAAAUAUAGGGGCAGCUUUUCUUUGCUGCAUCUACUGUGAGAAUGAAGACCAUUCCCAGCAAUCAGACUGUCAACAUUCCAGAAAAUGUGGACAUUACUCCGAAGGGACACACAGUUAUCGUGAAGGGCCGCAGAGGGACUUCGAUCACAUCAGUGUAGAACUUAGUCUUCUUGGAAAUGGAAAAAAAGAGGCUCUGGAUUGACAAAUGGCAGAAUAGCAAAGGAGCUGGCUACCAUUUGGACUAUUUGUUGUCAUGUACAGAACAUGAUUAAGGCUGUUACACUGGGCUUCCCUUACAAGAUGAGGUCUGUGCAUGCUCACUUCCCCAUCAGCGUCGUUAUCCAGGAGAAUGGGUCUCUUCUUGAAAUCUGAAAUUUCUUGGAUUAAAAAAUAUAUCCACAGGGUUCGGAUGAGACCAGGUGUUGCUUGUUCGGUAUCUCAACUCCAGAAAGAUGAAUUAAUCCUUGAAGGAAAUGACAUUGAGUUUGUUUCAAAUUCAGCUUCUUUGAUUCAGCAAGCCACAACAGUUAAAAACAAAAAUAUCAGGAAAUUUUUGGAUGGUAUCUAUGUCUGUGAAAAAGGAACUGUUCAGCAGGGUGAUGAACAAGAUCUAAGAGUUUUCCAGCUACAGAAACAAGAUGCCAUAUGACUCCUAAGACCUACUCGUGAUGUUUAAAUGAUGCAAUGAAAGACCUAUUGAUUUGGAA
This is a non-coding RNA of Callithrix jacchus (white-tufted-ear marmoset), 4950 nucleotides long. The record is from RefSeq and is a predicted model, not a curated record. NCBI's taxonomy places the organism in Eukaryota, Metazoa, Chordata, Mammalia, Primates, Cebidae.